Molecule: small nuclear RNA, 122 nt
Organism: Grammomys surdaster
Lineage: Eukaryota; Metazoa; Chordata; Mammalia; Rodentia; Muridae
Source: RefSeq, a predicted model, not a curated record
GUGUUGUAUGAACGGAAGGUCAGCGCUCCCCUAGACAAGGAUGGAAGAGACCCUUGGGCCUAACAACACACAUGCGGUUAAGGCACUGCCACCAUAGUUUAAGGCAUCUAACCCCUGUUUCU